UACGGGGGGGGCAAGCGUUGUUCGGAAUUCCUGGGCGUAAAGGGCUCGUAGGCGGCCAACUAAGUCAGACGUGAAAUCCCUCGGCUUAACCGGGGAACUGCGUCUGAUACUGGAUGGCUUGAAUCCGGGAGAGGGAUGCGGAAUUCCAGGUGUAGCGGUGAAAUGCGUAGAUAUCUGGAGGAACACCGGUGGCGAAGGCGGCAUCCUGGACCGGCAUUGACGCUGAGGAGCGAAAGCCAGGGGAGCAAACGGG
This 253-nucleotide ribosomal RNA is filed under the name uncultured bacterium. Its description in RNAcentral is "partial 16S ribosomal RNA". It matches the Rfam family "Bacterial small subunit ribosomal RNA", at positions 524 to 776 of the family's 1533-position model. The record is from RNAcentral.